This 466-nucleotide ribosomal RNA is filed under the name uncultured bacterium. RNAcentral describes it as "partial 16S ribosomal RNA". It matches the Rfam family "Bacterial small subunit ribosomal RNA", at positions 28 to 507 of the family's 1533-position model. The record is from RNAcentral.
GAUGAACGCUGGCGGCGUGCUUAACACAUCCAAGUCGAACGAUGAAGCCCAGCUUGCUGGGUGGAUUAGUGGCGAACGGGUGAGUAACACGUGAGUAACCUGCCCUUGACUCUGGGAUAAGCCUGGGAAACUGGGUCUAAUACUGGAUAUGACUUCUCAUCGCAUGGUGGGGGGUGGAAAGAUUUAUUGGUCUUGGAUGGACUCGCGGCCUAUCAGCUUGUUGGUGAGGUAAUGGCUCACCAAGGCGACGACGGGUAGCCGGCCUGAGAGGGUGACCGGCCACACUGGGACUGAGACACGGCCCAGACUCCUACGGGAGGCAGCAGUGGGGAAUAUUGCACAAUGGGCGCAAGCCUGAUGCAGCGACGCCGCGUGAGGGAUGACGGCCUUCGGGUUGUAAACCUCUUUCAGUAGGGAAGAAGCGAGAGUGACGGUACCUGCAGAAGAAGCGCCGGCUAACUACGUG